This 496-nucleotide ribosomal RNA is filed under the name uncultured bacterium. Its description in RNAcentral is "partial 16S ribosomal RNA". It matches the Rfam family "Bacterial small subunit ribosomal RNA", at positions 28 to 506 of the family's 1533-position model. The record is from RNAcentral.
GAUGAACGCUGGCGGCGUGCCUAAUACAUGCAAGUCGAGCGAACAGACGAGGAGCUUGCUCCUCUGACGUUAGCGGCGGACGGGUGAGUAACACGUGGAUAACCUACCUAUAAGACUGGGAUAACUUCGGGAAACCGGAGCUAAUACCGGAUAAUAUAUUGAACCGCAUGGUUCAAUAGUGAAAGACGGUUUUGCUGUCACUUAUAGAUGGAUCCGCGCCGCAUUAGCUAGUUGGUAAGGUAACGGCUUACCAAGGCAACGAUGCGUAGCCGACCUGAGAGGGGGCUCGGCCCCCCGGGACCUGAAACACGGUCCAGACCCCUACGGGAGGCAGCAGUGGGAAAUCUUCCGCAUGGGGCAAAAGCUUGACGGGGCAACGCCGGGGGGGUAAUGAGGGGUUUCGGUCCGUAAACCGCUUUUUUUAGGGAAAAAAAAAUUUGUAAGUAACAAUGCCCGUUUUGACGGUCCCUAAUCAAAAACCCCCGGCUAACUACGU